This 484-nucleotide ribosomal RNA is filed under the name uncultured bacterium. RNAcentral's name for it is "partial 16S ribosomal RNA". It matches the Rfam family "Bacterial small subunit ribosomal RNA", at positions 30 to 507 of the family's 1533-position model. The record is from RNAcentral.
AUUGAACGCUGGCGGCAGGCCUAACACAUGCAAGUCGAGCGGAUGAAGGGAGCUUGCUCCUGGAUUCAGCGGCGGACGGGUGAGUAAUGCCUAGGAAUCUGCCUGGUAGUGGGGGAUAACGUCCGUAAACGGGCGCUAAUACCGCAUACGUCCUGAUGGAGAAAGUGGGGGAUCUUCGGACCUCACGCUAUCAGAUGAGCCUAGGUCGUAUUAGCUAGUUGGUGGGGUAAAGGCCUACCAAGGCGACGAUCCGUAACUGGUCUGAGAGGAUGAUCAGUCACACUGGAACUGAGACACGGUCCAGACUCCUACGGGAGGCAGCAGUGGGGAAUAUUGGACAAUGGGCGAAAGCCUGAUCCAGCCAUGCCGCGUGUGUGAAGAAGGUCUUCGGAUUGUAAAGCACUUUAAGUUGGGAGGAAGGGCAGUAAGUUAAUCCCUUGCUGUUUUGACGUUACCAACAGAAUAAGCACCGGCUAACUUCGUG